CCUACGGGAGGCAGCAGUGAGGAAUAUUGGACAAUGUGCGCGAGCCUGAACCAGCCAAGUAGCGUGAAGGAUGACUGCCCUACGGGUUGUAAACUUCUUUUAUAAAGGAAUAAAGUGAGGCACGUGUGCCUUUUUGUAUGUACUUUAUGAAUAAGGAUCGGCUAACUCCGUGCCAGCAGCCGCGGUAAUACGGAGGAUCCGAGCGUUAUCCGGAUUUUAUGGGGUUAAAGGGAGCGUAGAUGGGUUUUUAAGUCAGUUGUGAAAGUUUGCGGAUCAACCGUAAAAUUGCAAUUGAUACUGGCAGUCUUGAGUACAGGUGAGGUAGGCGGAGUUCGUGGUGUAGCGGUGAAAUGCUUAGAUAUCACGAAGAACUCCGAUUGCGAAGGCAGCUUACUAAACUGCCACUGACAUUGAUGCUCGAAAGUGUGGGUAUCAAACAGGAUUAGAUACCCGUGUAGUC
Molecule: ribosomal RNA, 460 nt
Filed under: uncultured bacterium
Lineage: Bacteria
Description: partial 16S ribosomal RNA
Rfam family: Bacterial small subunit ribosomal RNA
Source: RNAcentral